AGGACGAACGCUGGCGGCGUGCUUAACACAUGCAAGUCGAACGGUAAGGCCCUUCGGGGUACACGAGCGGCGAACGGGUGAGUAACACGUGGGUAACCUGCCCUGUACUUUGGGAUAAGCCCGGGAAACUGGGUCUAAUACCGGAUACGACUCCUCCACGCAUGUGGUGGGGUGGAAAGUUCUGGCGGUACAGGAUGGGCCCGCGGCCUAUCAGCUUGUUGGUGGGGUGAUGGCCUACCAAGGCGACGACGGGUAGCCGGCCUGAGAGGGCGACCGGCCACACUGGGACUGAGACACGGCCCAGACUCCUACGGGAGGCAGCAGUGGGGAAUCUUGCACAAUGGGCGAAAGCCUGAUGCAGCGACGCCGCGUGAGGGAUGGACGGCCUUCGGGUUGUAAACCUCUUUCGACCGGGACGAAGCGAGAGUGACGGUACCGGUAGAAGAAGCACCGGCUAACUACGCGCCAGCAGCCGC
Molecule: ribosomal RNA, 476 nt
Filed under: uncultured bacterium
Lineage: Bacteria
Description: SSU rRNA
Rfam family: Bacterial small subunit ribosomal RNA
Source: RNAcentral